GGUUACAAUACAAAUGAUAGAAGUUGGGAAAUAAACAACAAUCAUGCAUGUAUAAGGUUGGAUUUUAAUAUAUAUAUAACAAAUAAAUUAAAUUGAUGAAUGUGUUAUUUCACGAAAGAAUGUGUGUUUGAUGUUUUGAUUGUGUCGGUAUUGUUAUAUUCAAGUUUCUGCAUCAUCGAAGAUAAAGUUUAGUACAAUUCGAUAUAAUUCGAUCUUUUCAAAAUUUU
RNAcentral lists this long non-coding RNA (227 nucleotides) under Gossypium barbadense (sea-island cotton). RNAcentral describes it as "long non-coding RNA (GBAR_LNC011652)". The record is from RNAcentral. Lineage: Eukaryota; Viridiplantae; Streptophyta; Magnoliopsida; Malvales; Malvaceae.